GAUCCUGGCUCAGGAUGAACGCUGGCGGCGUGCUUAACACAUGCAAGUCGAGCGGUAGCACAGAGAGCUUGCUCUCGGGUGACGAGCGGCGGACGGGUGAGUAAUGUCUGGGAAACUGCCUGAUGGAGGGGGAUAACUACUGGAAACGGUAGCUAAUACCGCAUAAUGUCGCAAGACCAAAGUGGGGGGACCUUCGGGCCUCAUGCCAUCAGAUGUGCCCAGAUGGGA
Molecule: ribosomal RNA, 228 nt
Filed under: uncultured bacterium
Lineage: Bacteria
Description: partial 16S ribosomal RNA
Rfam family: Bacterial small subunit ribosomal RNA
Source: RNAcentral